UACGUAGGGGGCAAGCGUUGUCCGGAUUUAUUGGGCGUAAAGAGCGUGUAGGCGGCCAGACAGGUCCGUUGUGAAAGCUCGAGGCUCAACCUCGAGACGCCGAUGGAAACCGUCUGGCUAGAGUCCGGAAGAGGAGAGUGGAAUUCCUGGUGUAGCGGUGAAAUGCGCAGAUAUCAGGAAGAACACCCGUGGCUAAGGCGGCUCUCUAGUACGGUACUGACGCUGAGACGCGAAAGCGUGGGGAGCGAACAGG
This 253-nucleotide ribosomal RNA is filed under the name uncultured bacterium. RNAcentral's name for it is "partial 16S ribosomal RNA". It matches the Rfam family "Bacterial small subunit ribosomal RNA", at positions 524 to 776 of the family's 1533-position model. The record is from RNAcentral.